UUACCCCUACGGGGGGCAGCAGUGGGGGAUAUUGGACAAUGGGGGAAACCCUGAUCCAGCGACGCCGCGUGAGUGAAGAAGUAUUUCGGUAUGUAAAGCUCUAUCAGCAGGGAAGAAAGAAAUGACGGUACCUGAGUAAGAAGCCCCGGCUAACUACGUGCCAGCUGCCACGGUAAUACGUAGGGGGCAAGCGUUAUCCGGAAUUACUGGGUGUAAAGGGAGCGUAGACGGUUAAGCAAGUCUGGUGUGAAAGGCGGGGGGCCAACCCCCGGACUGCUCUGGAAACUGUGUAACUAG
Molecule: ribosomal RNA, 297 nt
Filed under: uncultured bacterium
Lineage: Bacteria
Description: partial 16S ribosomal RNA
Rfam family: Bacterial small subunit ribosomal RNA
Source: RNAcentral